GAUGAAGAACGUAGCGAAAUGCGAUACUUGGUGUGAAUUGCAGAAUCCCGUGAACCAUCGAGUCUUUGAACGCAAGUUGCGCCCGAAGCCAUUAGGCCGAGGGCACGCCUGCCUGGGCGUCACACGUCGUUGCCCCCCCACCUACUCCUUCGGGAUUGCGGGGGGCGGAUGAUGGCCUCCCGUGCGCCUCGUCGCGCGGUUGGCAUAAAUGCCAAGUCCUCGGCGACGCACGCCACGACAAUCGGUGGUUGCGAAACCUCGGUUGCCCGUCGUGUGCGGUCGUCGCGCAUCGAGGGCUCGAAAAAAUUGCCGGGCUCCGGCUCGGCUCUCAACGCGACCCCAGGUCAGGCGGGGUUACCCGCUGAAUUUAAGCAUAUCAAUAAGCGGAGGA
This 391-nucleotide unclassified non-coding RNA is filed under the name soil metagenome. RNAcentral describes it as "partial contains 5.8S ribosomal RNA, internal transcribed spacer 2, and large subunit ribosomal RNA". The stretch from base 1 to 122 matches the Rfam family "5.8S ribosomal RNA", at positions 35 to 154 of the family's 154-position model. The record is from RNAcentral.